RNAcentral lists this long non-coding RNA (290 nucleotides) under Brassica napus (rape). RNAcentral's name for it is "long non-coding RNA (BNAP_LNC017591)". The record is from RNAcentral. Lineage: Eukaryota; Viridiplantae; Streptophyta; Magnoliopsida; Brassicales; Brassicaceae.
AUUUCCAGCUCCGUUGCAAAGUUGGGCCAUGCUUGUGGUUCUUACAUCAUUGUGAUCAGGUCCUUGCAAUCCGUCCCAAAUCUCUGGCAGGUCGAAUGUUGUAUCAUGCACUCCAUUGCCCAUCUUAGCGCUUCCAACUCUGAAUGUAAAGGUGUUUCGCGCCGCGUUAGAUUCCUGGAACCCAUAAGUUGAAUUUUUCCCGUGCUAUCCUUCCAAACCCAUCCCAUUCCACUAAACAGAGAUGUGGAGGUCCACGAGCCAUCCACCAUACAUAUCUCACCCAAGCUUAC